This 238-nucleotide long non-coding RNA is filed under the name Elaeis guineensis (African oil palm). RNAcentral describes it as "long non-coding RNA (EGUI_LNC046045)". The record is from RNAcentral. Lineage: Eukaryota; Viridiplantae; Streptophyta; Magnoliopsida; Arecales; Arecaceae.
GCAGGUGCGGGCAAAUAGAUAACUAAAGAAGGAGGCUCAAGACGGCGACCGACGAGGUUGCUCGCCUUCAGAAGCAGUUGUCUGAAAGAGCCCAGGUUGUUUUGGUUCAAGGCUCCGACGAUCUCCGAUCCUUAAGGGGGUCCAUGGAAGAACUGUCCGUAGCCCUUGGGAAGGAGAAGGCCAAACUGUAGUGGCUGAAAAUUCAGCUGACCUAUGAGCAACAGGCAGUCAAGGAUGC